UAAGAUUUCAUCUAUUGACCGAAGACAGUAGCUUCCCGCCCUUUUAAGUGACAAUCAAUGGUAAAAGAACGGGAUUAAUCUGCUACCGAGGUAAAGAAAUUUUUUACUGGACUAGUCUUUGGUUUAAAACCAAAGUUUUUUUAAUUUUAGC
Molecule: non-coding RNA, 151 nt
Organism: Candidatus Saccharibacteria bacterium GW2011_GWA2_46_10
Lineage: Bacteria; Candidatus Saccharimonadota
Source: Rfam